CCUACGGGUGGCAGCAGUGAGGAAUAUUGGUCAAUGGACGAGAGUCUGAACCAGCCAAGUAGCGUGAAGGAUGACUGCCCUAUGGGUUGUAAACUUCUUUUAUAUGGGAAUAAAACAGGGUAUGCAUACCCUCUUGUAUGUACCAUAUGAAUAAGGAUCGGCUAACUCCGUGCCAGCAGCCGCGGUAAUACGGAGGAUCCGAGCGUUAUCCGGAUUUAUUGGGUUUAAAGGGUGCGUAGGUUGUUUUAUAAGUUAGCGGUGAAAUACCGAUGCUCAACAUCGGGGCUGCCGCUAAUACUGUAGGACUAGAGAUCGGAUGCAGCAGGCGGAAUGUGUAGUGUAGCGGUGAAAUGCAUAGAUAUUACACAGAACACCGAUUGCGAAGGCAGCUUGCUAGGCCGGAUCUGACACUGAUGCACGAAAGCGUGGGGAUCGAACAGGAUUAGAUACCCCUGUAGUC
RNAcentral lists this ribosomal RNA (460 nucleotides) under uncultured bacterium. Its description in RNAcentral is "partial 16S ribosomal RNA". It matches the Rfam family "Bacterial small subunit ribosomal RNA", at positions 338 to 795 of the family's 1533-position model. The record is from RNAcentral.